UCAUAAUUUAGUGAUAGAAAAAGGAAGACAUUUAAAAAUACCUAUCUAGAGAAAAAAGACUAUGCACAUCCUGUAAUACAAUGGAGGAUAAAGCCCAUUUUAUUUUAUACUGUAAAAAAAAUGCUAAGCUAAGAGAUAACUUUAUAGGAAAUGUAAUUAAACAUAUGCCAGAUUUUAUGUCUUGGCAAGAAAAUGAAAAAAUUAAAUAUCUUUAAUCUGCGACACGCCCUGCCAGAAAAAAAAAACGACAUUAAACAUACACAAAGGCCUUAACAGAAAACAUACCUGCAAAUGUCCCAUAGGCCACACGACCUAAAGGAAAAAAAAGGAACCAUUUGACAUACACAAAGGCCUUAACAGAAAACAUACCUGCGAAUCUCCAAUCUGCGUCGCGCCCUGCCAGAAAAAAAGAAAAGACAACAUUAGACAUACACAAAGGUCUUAACAGAAAACAUACCUGGGAAUCCUCAAUCUGCGUCGCGCCCUGCUAGAAAAAAAGAAAAGGCGCAAUUAGACAUACACAAAGGUCUUAACAGAAAACAUACCUGGGAAUCCUCAAUCUGCGUCGCGCCCUGCUAGAAAAAAAGAAAAGGCGCAAUUAGACAUACACAAAGGUCUUAACAGAAAACAUACCUGGGAAUCCUCAAUCUGCGUCGCGCCCUGCAAAAAAAAAAAAAGGCCACACGACCUAAAGGAAAAAAAAAAGAAACCAUUAGACAUACACAAAGGUCUUAACAGAAAACAUACCUUGGAAUCCUCAAUCUGCGUCGCGCCCUGCUAGAAAAAAAGAAAAGGCGCAAUUGGACAUACACAAAGGUCUUAACAGAAAACAUACCUGGGAAUCCUCAAUCUGCGUCGCGCCCUGCAAAAAAAAAAAGGCCACACGACCUAAAGGAAAAAAAAAAAACAUUAGACAUACACAAAGGUCUUAACAGAAAACAUACCUGGGAAUCCUCAAUCUGCGUCGCGCCCUGCUAGAAAAAAAGAAAAGGCGCAAUUAGACAUACACAAAGGUCUUAACAGAAAACAUACCUGGGAAUCCUCAAUCUGCGUCGCGCCCUGCUAGAAAAAAAGAAAAGGGACAACCUUAGACAUACACAAAGGUCUUAACAGAAAACAUACCUGGGAAUCCUCAAUCUGCGUCGCACCCUACUAGAAAAAAAGAAAAGGCGAAAUUAGACAUACACAAAGGUCUUAACAGAAAACAUACCUGAAAAUCUCCAAUCUGCGAUGCGCCCUGCCAGAAAAAAAAGAAAAGGCGCAAUUAGACAUACACAAAGGUCUUAACAGAAAACAUACCUGGGAAUCCUCAAUCUGCGUCACGCCCUGCAAAAAAAAAAAGGCCACACGACCAAGCCCUGCUAGAAAAAAAAAAGGCGACAUUAGACAUACACAAAGGUCUUAACAGAAAACAUACCUGAAAAUCCUCAAUCUGCGUCGCGCCCUGCUAGAAAAAAAGAAAAGGCGACAUUAGACAUACACAAAGGCCUUAACAGAAAACAUACCUUCGAAUCUUCAAUCUGCAUCGCGCCCUGCUGGAAAAAAAAGAAAAGGCGCAAUUAGACAUACACAAAGGUCUUAACAGAAAACAUACCUGGGAAUCCUCAAUCUGCGUCGCGCCCUGCUAGAAAAAAAGAAAAGGCGCAA
RNAcentral lists this long non-coding RNA (1647 nucleotides) under Mytilus galloprovincialis (Mediterranean mussel). Lineage: Eukaryota; Metazoa; Mollusca; Bivalvia; Mytilida; Mytilidae. The record is from RNAcentral.